RNAcentral lists this ribosomal RNA (773 nucleotides) under uncultured Neocallimastigales. RNAcentral describes it as "partial large subunit ribosomal RNA". It matches the Rfam family "Eukaryotic large subunit ribosomal RNA", at positions 24 to 643 of the family's 3401-position model. Lineage: Eukaryota; Fungi; Neocallimastigomycota; Neocallimastigomycetes; Neocallimastigales. The record is from RNAcentral.
UAUCUCUGUAGAGUCUGCAUAUCAAUAAGCGGAGGAAAAGAAACUAACUAGGAUUCCCUUAGUAACGGCGAGUGAAGCGGGAAGAGCUCAAAUUUGAAAUCUUCAAGGUUUACCUUGACGAAUUGUAGUUUAAAGAAGUGUUUUCUGUUGAAGUUUCGGUAAAAGUUCUUUGGAAUAGGACAUCAUAGAGGGUGAGAAUCCCGUAUUUGACCAUUAUUUUCAGCUGUGUGAUACACUUUCAAAGAGUCGGAUUGUUUGGGAAUGCAGUCCAAAAUGGGUGGUAAAUUUCAUCUAAAGCUAAAUAUUGGCGAGAGACCGAUAGCGAACAAGUACCGUGAGGGAAAGAUGAAAAGAACUUUGAAAAGAGAGUUAAACAGUACGUGAAAUUGUCAAAAGGGAAGCGUUUGACACCAGUGUUGUUUUUCCGAAAAUCAAUUACGAAUGGCUUGAUUCUGUGUUGUAUUGACCUUAUCAGCUUUCUGCACUUUUUUCGAGUCUUUCUUAAUGCACUUUUCGGUUAACAAGUCAACAUCAAUUUCUUUUGUUGUAAAAGAGUAUUCGGAAGGUGGCUUUCUUUUCGGAGAAAGUGUUUAUAGCCCUAUACUUCUACAAUCGGAGAGAUUGAGGUCUGCAGCGUAGAUCCUUCGGGGUUAGAUACACUUGUGCUAAGUUGUAGCUUUUCAUAGACAACUUGUUGACUAUGUUCAGUCAUGCGGCUUACUCGCUUGUGCUAUUUUACCUACGCUUAGGAUGUUGAAGAUGUAGCACAUCAU